AUCAGCCUUUUCGGGUGCGAUUCUGUGGGGUUUGAUGAGCUUAACACCUUCAUGCUCUGCAUAUUCGUGCUCUUGGGUGUACUUGCCCGUGUGGUUGGUUAACAUCAAUUUUGGUGGUCAUAAAAUGACUGGAGGAAUGUAGCUUCGAUCUUGUAUUGAAGUGUUAUAGCCUUCGGUAGAUGUGAUGAUCGAGAUUGAGGAUUGCAACGGAUACCCUUCGGGGCUACCUGUCUGAUCUCUGAUCGUUGCUCUGGUGCCGAAAGCUUGCUUACGGUUAUCAAAGUCGAUGGUCAAUAGGUUAGAAUGGGUUAAAUUCGUUAAGGAUGUUGACGUAAUGGCUUU
Molecule: ribosomal RNA, 342 nt
Filed under: uncultured Glomeromycotina
Lineage: Eukaryota; Fungi; Glomeromycota
Description: eukaryotic LSU rRNA
Source: RNAcentral